Molecule: small RNA, 157 nt
Filed under: Gopherus agassizii (Agassiz's desert tortoise)
Lineage: Eukaryota; Metazoa; Chordata; Testudines; Testudinidae
Description: TUC338 (ENSGAGG00000002795.1)
Source: RNAcentral
UCCAUGGAUGCAUGAGUCCAUUGCAGAGCCAUAAAGGACAGCCCAGGUGGCCCCAGAGCAGGUUUGCUCCACACUGCCCUGUCCAUAUGCCUCAAUGCUGGCCUGGAAGGGCCAUGGCUAUGGGGAAAAGGGAAUUUACUCUUGGUCCUUGGCUAAA